RNAcentral lists this ribosomal RNA (468 nucleotides) under uncultured bacterium. RNAcentral's name for it is "partial 16S ribosomal RNA". It matches the Rfam family "Bacterial small subunit ribosomal RNA", at positions 28 to 507 of the family's 1533-position model. The record is from RNAcentral.
GACGAACGCUGGCGGCGUGCUUAACACAUGCAAGUCGAACGGAAAGGCCCUGCUUUUGUGGGGUGCUCGAGUGGCGAACGGGUGAGUAACACGUGAGUAACCUGCCCUUGACUUUGGGAUAACUUCAGGAAACUGGGGCUAAUACCGGAUAGGAGCUCCUGCUGCAUGGUGGGGGUUGGAAAGUUUCGGCGGUUGGGGAUGGACUCGCGGCUUAUCAGCUUGUUGGUGGGGUAGUGGCUUACCAAGGCUUUGACGGGUAGCCGGCCUGAGAGGGUGACCGGCCACAUGAGGACUGAGAUACGGCCCAGACUCCUACGGGAGGCAGCAGUGGGGAAUAUUGCACAAUGGGCGCAAGCCUGAUGCAGCAACGCCGCGGUCGGGAUGACGGCCUUCGGGUUGUAAACCGCAUUCGCCUGUGACGAAGCUUGAGUGACGGUAAUGGGUAAAGAAGCACCGGCUAACUACGUG